Molecule: ribosomal RNA, 465 nt
Filed under: uncultured bacterium
Lineage: Bacteria
Description: partial 16S ribosomal RNA
Rfam family: Bacterial small subunit ribosomal RNA
Source: RNAcentral
CCUACGGGGGACAGCAGUAGGGAAUUUUCGGCAAUGGGCGAAAGCCUGACCGAGCAACGCCGCGUGAACGAAGAAGGUCUUCGGAUUGUAAAGUUCUGUUAUAGAGGAAGAACGGUGUACGUAGGAAAUGACGUACAAUGGACGGUACUCUGUGAGGAAGCCACGGCUAACUACGUGCCAGCAGCCGCGGUAAUACGUAGGUGGCGAGCGUUAUCCGGAAUCAUUGGGCGUAAAGAGGGAGCAGGCGGCCUGGAGGGUCUAUUGUUAAAAGGCAGUGGCUUAACCAUUGCAAGGCGAAGAAACCGGCAGGCUAGAGUGCUAAAGAGGUUCGUGGAAUUCCAUGUGUAGCGGUGAAAUGCGUAGAUAUAUCGAAGAACACCAGUGGCGAAGGCGACGAACUGGGAAGAAACAGACGCUGAGGCCCGAAAGCGUGGGGAGCAAAUAGGAUUAGAUACCCUGGUAGUC